AAAACUUUAGUAUAAUGGAGUAUAAGUCGUUGUCUGCGGUUAGGUUUUGAAGUUUUG
Molecule: transfer RNA, 57 nt
Filed under: Enterobius vermicularis (human pinworm)
Lineage: Eukaryota; Metazoa; Nematoda; Chromadorea; Rhabditida; Oxyuridae
Description: tRNA-Asp
Source: RNAcentral